CGAGUCCGAGUCUCCACGGAGACGAAGUGGCGGUCAUCCAGCUUCCUAGAAAAGCUCUAACCACGUUAAUCUUUAGUUGCCUGUACCCGAAACCGACACAGGUAGGGGGGUAGAGAAUACCAAGGGGCGCGAGAUAACUCUCUCCAAGGAACUCGGCAAAAUGACCCCGUAACUUCGGGAGAAGGGGUACCACUGAGAAGUGGUCGCAGUGAAGAGGCCCAGGCGACUGUUUACCAAAAACACAGGUCUCCGCCAAGUCGCAAGACGAAGUAUGGGGGCUGACGCCUGCCCAGUGCCGGAAUGUUAAGGAAGUGGGUUAGGGAUUCGUCCCGAAGCUGACGACUGAAGCCCCGGUGAACGGCGGCCGUAACUAUAACGGUCCUAAGGUAGCGAAAUUCCUUGUCGGGUAAGUUCCGACCCGCACGAAAGGCGUAACGAUCUGGGCGCUGUCUCGGAGAGAGGCUCGGCGAAAUAGGAUUGUCUGUGAAGAUACGGACUACCUGCACCUGGACAGAAAGACCCUAUGAAGCUUUACUGUAGCUUGGAAUUGGGUUCGGGCUUGGUUUGCGCAGGAUAGGUGGGAGGCGAAGAAGAUUUGCUUGUGGGUGAAUCUGAGCCAACGGUGAGAUACCACUCUAACCAGGCUAGAAUUCUAACUUCAACCCGUCAACCGGGGGAAGGACAGUUUCAGGUGGGCAGUUUGACUGGGGCGGUCGCCUCCUAAAAGAUAACGGAGGCGCACAAAGGUUCCCUCAGGCUGGUUGGAAAUCAGCCAACGAGUGCAAAGGCAGAAGGGAGCUUGACUGCGAGACCUACAAGUCAAGCAGGGUGGAAACACGGUCUUAGUGAUCCGACGGCACCGAGUGGAAGGGCCGUCGCUCAACGGAUAAAAGUUACUCUAGGAUAACAGGCUGAUCUCCCCCAAGAGUUCACAUCGACGGGGAGGUUUGGCACCUCGAUGUCGGCUCAUCCAACCUGGGGCGGAAGUACGUCCCAAGGGUUGGGCUGUUCGCCCAUUAAGGCGGUACGUGAGCUGGGUUCAGAACGUCGUGAGACAGUUCGGUCCAUAUCCGGUGUAGGCGCAAGAACAUUGAGAGGAGUCUUCCUUAGUACGAGAGGACCGGGAAGAACGCACCGCUGGUGUACCUGUUAUCGUGCCAACGGUAAACGCAGGGUAGCCAAGUGCGGAGUGGAUAACCGCUGAAAGCAUCUAAGUGGGAAGCCCACCUCAAGAUGAGUGUUCUCAUGGAGUAAUCCAGUAAGGUCACGGGAAGACGACCCGUUGAUAGGCGGUAGGUGGAAGUUCAGCAAUGGAUGAAGCCGAGCCGUACUAACAGACCGAGGGCUUGACC
RNAcentral lists this ribosomal RNA (1352 nucleotides) under metagenome. RNAcentral's name for it is "bacterial LSU rRNA". It matches the Rfam family "Bacterial large subunit ribosomal RNA", at positions 1564 to 2925 of the family's 2925-position model. The record is from RNAcentral.